This 4407-nucleotide long non-coding RNA is filed under the name Mus musculus (house mouse). Its description in RNAcentral is "long non-coding RNA chr11:98768995-98773402". Lineage: Eukaryota; Metazoa; Chordata; Mammalia; Rodentia; Muridae. The record is from RNAcentral.
GUUGAAUUGAACUGCGUGUGCCUCCUCCAGGGUCAGGGGAGAGCUUGGCUCACCUGCAGAGACAAGCACCACCGCGGUGAAUAGGCCCAGCUCCUCCUCGGUAAGUGCCAGGGAGUUGAGCUUCUCGCUGAAGUCAAACAUGGCAUUGAGCAGGUCGCCCAUGCCCAUGGCACCGAGCUCCUGCAGACUGUAGGUUGUGCGGCUCAGGAACAUCACUGUCUGGUCCUUCACGUUGAACAACGAUGCAAAGCGCACCAUCAGCACCUGAAGGGAGGGUGGACAUUUUUUGAGUGAGAUGGGAGGGGCAUUUUGCCAAAUGACCCCUAGAGCCUGCUAAUAACUUUGAGGGGUGUUUCCUUAGAUUGUCAGUAAGGGGGUCAGUCUCUGAUUGGUCAAUGAGGGAUGCAGGUGGGAGUGCCCGCCACUUCUGGAAUGUAAUUUAACCGAAGGUCACCAGCUCCGGCCUAGAGUAGAGGAGAGUUGUCUCUUUGGUUACUCUGAUGCACUGAGUUUGGAGGCAACACCAGCCUAGAGGAUAGACUUCCCACAGACCCUGAGGUGCCGAGCUAGCGGUGUUACAAGUUCUAUCUCCUCAGACAGAGAGAUAACACAGGGCCAAAGACUCUGGGAAGCCCUUCCCACUCCAGUCACCACACUACUGGGGCCCUCCCACAGUCAAGAGCAGGGAACAUAAAAGUACCGCUCACCUCAAAGGUGCCAGCCUUAAGCAGGGUCACCUGGUCGUGCUGAGAAAGGUCACGGAAGCCUGGGAUGUGUUUGGCAAACUCUACCACCUCCCGAACGGCAGGCGUGAAGCUCAUAGAGAAGUCUUCCCAGAUCUCCUGCACAGUCCGGCCGCUGCGUCCAUGGGGAUACAUGUUCAUGGGACAUGCCUAAGAGGAGAAUGGAGUAAGGAGGGACAUGUUAGCUGGGUGGGCUCCCCAACAGGACUGGUUCCAAGUACUGUCUGGGCUAAGAGCUGUGGCCCUUGAGAAGGGGUCUCUCACCUAAAUCGGUAAUCAGGUGCCGAAUGGUGAUUAAGGAUUCCCAGGUAAAACCCAGAUUUUGGGGUAGAAUGUCCUUUCCUGGACAGAAGUCCCCACCCCCAGCCUCUAGGAACACUGGCUGUCUUUCUCUAGUCCCAAUCUUCCAAGGCCCCCUCGCUCUCUCCACACUGGCUCCAUGCCCUCACCAGCAGAACAUUCUUGGUGUUGCCUUGCCGUAGACUGUUGGCAGGUGCCUCCCCUUCUGGGGCCGAAUAUACGUGGGUGGGGCACAGACGGUGCCCAUUGCUGUUAGGUUGGUGGCAGCUGUGGUGGGUGGGGCCAGAAGGCCAGGUAGGCGGGUAGGAGGAAGGGCCCUGGCGUAGACCAUUCAGCGCUUCAUUAUGACGCUGAGCCGCCAAAAGGUUGUUGUCGUUGGGGGCAGACGGGCAUCCCUGACUCUCCCAGCGGUGUGGAGUUGUAGCUGAAGGGCUACCUGAUGCAUGAUUGGCAUUGAAGUUACCAGGUGAGGUGCCUAACUUGUCAUGGGCAUAGGUGAAGAUUUCUCGAUGGGCCCGGGCGACCUGGGAUAUCACAUCCUCCAUGGUGGGCUCAGGGCUGGGAGACCUGGGUGGUGUCAGCUGUUGUGGGAACUGAGAGAAGCCCACCAAAGGUGUGGGGGCUGGUGCAGGAGGAGGUGAGGGGCCCAUGGAGCCAGAGGUGGGAUGUGGAGUAGGUGAGGUCUCUAGAGGGCACAGGCUGCUCAGUUGGUUGUUGGCCAAGUUCAUGGCGCUCUGCAUCUCGGCAAGCAUCCGUUGCUUCUCUCUCUUGGGGAUGCGCCCAAAACGCACAGCUGCAACAGGGCGAGAACCGUGUCAGGAAGUCCUGACAUACUCACAUGCGUCUCUUCCUUCCUUCCGCCCGAAAGGGCAAGCAAGACCCUAAAAGCCUGGGGGGUUCCACAUCAAAACUGAAACCAGCAAAGCCACACCCAUUCAGGGGGUGUGAGAGGAGAUGACCAGGGGGUGGGGGUGGGGGGGGAUAUGAAUGGUAGAAGAGUGUGUGUUUGCCCAAGAGGUUAGCACCUGGGUAUCCUCCAUGUAAACAACACUCACAGUACCAUCCUUCUCAACUUGAGGCUCUUUCUUAAACGGAGGGAUUAAGGCAGAAGCCGGGUGGAAGAAAAUGGGGCGAGAAGGAGAUAUGGGAAUACUGCCUUACCAUCUCUAGACAUGCCAACGGAGAGACACUUCUUGAAGCGACACUGCUGGCAGCGGUUGCGAUUGAUGCGAACGAUGGAGCAGUUUUCGUUUUUCAGACACCGUUUGUACUGGAUAUUCUGUUGGAUGCUCCGGCGAAAAAAGCCCUGGAAGGCAGGGGCGACGCAUGAAUGUCUUCAUCUAAGCCGAGCCUGUGCAUGCAUCCCCUGCCCAGGUCCUCAACCCUAACCCGCCUCACCUUGCAGCCCUCACAGGCGUGCACUCCAUAGUGGAAGCCUGAGGCCACGUCCCCACACACCUUACACAGUAGCACCAUGCCAUUCAGCUCUGUGGGAAGAGACAGGCAGAGGGUAAUACGGACUCCUUCUGGGCUCAAGGUUCUAGGAGGGGAAAGCUGAGGGGCUCUCACGUCUAGGUGACUGGACUGGACUGGAUAGGAGCUGGCACAAACUCUUAAGAGAAAUUCCAAAGGCCAGAGCACAGACCCCCAUCCCCUCCCACCUCCCCAAGAGUAACUCUCAGAUGGAAACCAACUCUAUCAACUACGUCUGGGCUCACUUCCUUUCCCCCUACAUCAGCUGGGCAUUGACUUACUGGUAAUGUUGCUUGUGCCCUUGCUGGGGGACACUCGGCUGCUGUCUUCCAUGGCCACUUGUAGACUUCCUGGGGGGCUCCCGUUAUAGAAGGAGGAGGAGGAUGAAGAGGAUGACGAUGAUGCAGAAGAAGGGGAGCUAUCAUCACUGAGACUGGGUGGCGCACUGCCAAAAGAGCGGGCAGGGUCCUGGGUGAGGGAGCCAGUAGGUGAUGGUGGGAAGUAUGUGGGACAACCUUGAGUCAGGGACUGGAAGCUGCCAUUGGAGCUGUCACUGUAGAGGGACUCCGGGCUGGUCCGGCUCGGGGAGGAGCCACUAGAGCCAAUGUAGGUGAUAACACCACCUAAAUAAGAGAACACAAGGGGAGGGUAUCAGCCAUCAAGUCUGUCAUUCACACAGUCAUCAUCAGAACAUUAGACCCCCUAACCUUGGAGUAAGAAGCAAUUCUCCCACACAGACUAAAUAUAGCACGGCCGGUCAACCUAGUCGUUAUUAGAAACUCUCCAUCACAUGCUACUUAUGAUAACCAAGUCCGGCCCCAAAAUACCCAUGGCCAUUGCUUUGCACAAUACAUUAAGCUUCUGGUUUGGGUGGGAGGUGUAACUCCAGUGGCCAUCUCAUACAUGGGAACCCCUGAGCUAGCUGCUUCCUGGGGAGUACUGACAGCAGCUAGGGUCUUAGUUACAAGGGGGGUAGACUUGGGAAGGAGAUGGACAGCUGACAGUUAUUCAUACACACACACACAAAAAAAACUAGCCACUAGUUCUACACUGAGACCUUUCCAGUGAUGGACCCUGCAGCGUGAUGGGUAGCUAGCCUAGUGCGAGGAAAAUGGAGGUGUACAAACGUAAAACGGUCACACCUUGCUUUCAAACCCAAAGACAUAUUCUCAUAGAGUACUGCAGGGAAGGACUCUCUGUUCAGCCUGGCUCUGGCCUCUGAGAGAUGAGUCACAAGAGACUUAGAAAUGUGACAGAUAAGACUCAGAUGAGUUGCAGGAGAUGAAAGGGAGAAACAAAGUAUCCAUUCUAGGGAUUUAGGAAUUCCCCUUCCUUCUCAGCCCGGUGGUAACUUUAGCUCUAUAGCCACUCAGCCAGCGGCUCUGUCCCUCUGGUUACAUUGCGGGCCAGGUGAUUCGGCUCCUGUGGUAUGCACAGAAGAGAAGGGCCACUUGUCUGCCACACCUCUGCCAAGUACUUAGCCUGGCCGGCCAUGGGUGGAGUGGGGAAAGGGGAGGAUCCUCAGACACGUGUGUGAGGUGACACAUGCCAUGCCACCGAGUCGACAGAAGCACAUGUCUUGCUCACCCACUGACACACACUAAACCAGGCAGGGCAACCUUAAAAUAGCUCAAGGUUGGUCAGGGUGAACCCUGCCUGUAAAAUAAGUCACAGAAUGGUUACCCGGCUAUGGUUUCACGGCUGGGUUGGAGGAUGGGUUAUUUAUGUGGACCUAAAUGAACUUGACCUAGUUAAUCCUGAAAGAGGGCAUGAGAAAGUCACUAAAAAAAAAAGUCUUCCAACUUUGAAGUGAUGGGCAAUGCUCAAAAGACCCUAGCUCUCCAUCUAGAUGUGUAUUGCUACCGAUUAGCUUUCCAAUAUAGAGGAAAUC